Molecule: long non-coding RNA, 511 nt
Filed under: Prunus persica (peach)
Lineage: Eukaryota; Viridiplantae; Streptophyta; Magnoliopsida; Rosales; Rosaceae
Description: long non-coding RNA (PPER_LNC003328)
Source: RNAcentral
UGGAUUCUUGUUCAGUGAUUCAACUAACCCAUUUUCUGUCUUUUCUUCAUUAAUUUAACAUUGUCGGCUAUUGUUAUCGAUGUGUAUAUUGUUGUUAAUAUAUUACACUAUCCUUCAUCUGUUGAUCUCUCUCUCUCUCUCUCUCUCUCUCUCUCUCUCUAUGAGAGCACCUUUCCACAAAGAAAAAGCUGAGCACGAUAUUCUGUUUGGCCAAAUCACCUUCGUCCUAGAAACAGGUUAAGAGAUUGUACUAGUUACAAGAGUGUAACUAUUAACACUUGAGAAAGUAUAAUAAAAUGAUCAAAUAAAAGGAAAUUGGGCCUCAAGUAACCUGACUUCUAAUAUCAAACCACUACAUUAUGAGUGGCUGGCUUAGAUUAGUUAUUUCCUAUGCCUUGAGUGAUAGGACUUCACAACUUACCUAGUGCAAAUAACAUCAAAGGAAUCAGACCAAGUUCAAAACAAAUAGAGAACAAGAUCCGACCAAGUUUAAACACAUUCUUCAUGAAGG